AGUGAACGCUGGCGGUAGGCCUAAUACAUGCAAGUCGAACGGCAGCACAGUAAGAGCUUGCUCUUACGGGUGGCGAGUGGCGGACGGGUGAGGAAUACAUCGGAAUCUACUUUUUCGUGGGGGAUAACGUAGGGAAACUUACGCUAAUACAGCAUACGUCCUACGGGUGGAAGCAGGGGAUAUUCGUACCUUUCGCGAUUGAAUGAGCCGAUGUCGGAUUAGCUAGUUGGCGGGGGAAAGGCAGCCCAAGGCAGGCGUCGGUACAUGGCCUGAGAGGAUGAUCAGCCACACUGGAACGGGGACACGGCCCAGACUCCUACGGGAGGCAGCAGUGGGGAAUAUUGGACAAUGGGCGAAAGCCUGAUCCAGCCAGACCGCGUGGGGGAAGAAGGCCUUCGGGUGGUAAAGCCCUUUUGUUGGGAAAGAAAAGCAGCAGGGUAAUACCCCGCUGUUCUGACGGUACCCAAAGAAUAAGCACCGGCUAACUUCGUG
Molecule: ribosomal RNA, 492 nt
Filed under: uncultured bacterium
Lineage: Bacteria
Description: partial 16S ribosomal RNA
Rfam family: Bacterial small subunit ribosomal RNA
Source: RNAcentral